GAUUGAGUUUGAUCCUGGCUCAGAGCGAACGCUGGCGGCAGGCCUAACACAUGCAAGUCGAACGGACCCUUCGGGGUUAGUGGCGGACGGGUGAGUAACACGUGGGAACGUGCCUUUAGGUUCGGAAUAGCUCCUGGAAACGGGUGGUAAUGCCGAAUGUGCCCUUCGGGGGAAAGAUUUAUCGCCUUUAGAGCGGCCCGCGUCUGAUUAGCUAGUUGGUGAGGUAACGGCUCACCAAGGCGACGAUCAGUAGCUGGUCUGAGAGGAUGACCAGCCACACUGGGACUGAGACACGGCCCAGACUCCUACGGGAGGCAGCAGUGGGGAAUCUUGCGCAAUGGGCGAAAGCCUGACGCAGCCAUGCCGCGUGAAUGAUGAAGGUCUUAGGAUUGUAAAAUUCUUUCACCGGGGACGAUAAUGACGGUACCCGGAGAAGAAGCCCCGGCUAACUUCGUGCCAGCAGCCGCGGUAAAAU
This 475-nucleotide ribosomal RNA is filed under the name uncultured bacterium. RNAcentral's name for it is "bacterial SSU rRNA". It matches the Rfam family "Bacterial small subunit ribosomal RNA", at positions 1 to 526 of the family's 1533-position model. The record is from RNAcentral.